Molecule: small nuclear RNA, 118 nt
Filed under: Erpetoichthys calabaricus (reedfish)
Lineage: Eukaryota; Metazoa; Chordata; Cladistia; Polypteriformes; Polypteridae
Description: U1 spliceosomal RNA (ENSECRG00000006268.1)
Rfam family: U1 spliceosomal RNA
About the family: U1 is a small nuclear RNA (snRNA) component of the spliceosome (involved in pre-mRNA splicing). Its 5' end forms complementary base pairs with the 5' splice junction, thus defining the 5' donor site of an intron.
Source: RNAcentral
UUACUUACCUGGCAGGAAAGAUACCAUGACCACUAAGGUGGUUUUCCCAGGGCAAAAUUCAUCCAUUUCACUCAGUGUGCUGACCUCUGCAAUUUCCUCAAAUGUGAUUUGUUGUAAU